GUAGUAAAUAAAUAUAUUCAAACAAUUCACUUUAGUCUUGUGCAAUUGUUGUUCGAAAAUUGAUGAAGACAAUGCAUGCUAUACACCUGGCGCUAUUUUGUUCGAUUCAAGUCUUUGACGUUGUGUUUCAAUUUAGCUGUUGAUUCUAUUGAUGCCGAAUCAGAAUCAGGCAAGGCGAAAGAAUACCUUAUUAAGAAAUGGGAACAGUGGUUUUACUUUAAUGACGCCAAUAAGGAUGGAGAGCUUUCAUUGAAUGAUAUGAAUCUAUUUGAGUAAGAAAUAUAUUU
Ruditapes philippinarum (Manila clam) is the source of this 287-nucleotide long non-coding RNA. RefSeq lists it as uncharacterized. The record is from RefSeq and is a predicted model, not a curated record. Lineage: Eukaryota; Metazoa; Mollusca; Bivalvia; Venerida; Veneridae. The transcript has 3 exons.